This 81-nucleotide ribosomal RNA is filed under the name Fusarium oxysporum f. sp. vasinfectum. RNAcentral's name for it is "partial 28S ribosomal RNA". Lineage: Eukaryota; Fungi; Ascomycota; Sordariomycetes; Hypocreales; Nectriaceae. The record is from RNAcentral.
UGGUAAUCGUCGCGGCCACGCCGUUAAACCCCAACUUCUGAAUGUUGACCUCGAUCAGGUAGGAAUACCCGCUGAACUUAA